Meleagris gallopavo (turkey) is the source of this 4184-nucleotide RNA transcript. RefSeq lists it as uncharacterized. The record is from RefSeq and is a predicted model, not a curated record. NCBI's taxonomy places the organism in Eukaryota, Metazoa, Chordata, Aves, Galliformes, Phasianidae.
UGCUGCUGUCUGCAUGUAGCCAGCCAGGGUGCAGACUUUCCUCUCACAGGCUCCACUGGGCAGCAGGAUGGCGACGAUGGCCAGCAGCGAGCUGAGGGCCAGCAGGGCACAGCCUCCCGCACACAGCACGGCGCUCGUCUGGAAGGACACACAGGACAGUCAGCAAGGUGGUUCCCUGCCAUCCCCACAACACCUCCCCACCAAUUCCCUUUCUCCUAUCUUGGAGUAAGAAGUGGAGGCUCUGUGUGGGUGCUUCUCCCAAUUCUCCUUCUUCCUGCUGCUCAAAUCCACCAUUGAAUUGCGAGCCCAUGGUUCACUCAUCACUUGGUCCCAGUAUUAGCAUUCGGAUGAUGGUGAUAAUGGCAAAUGUGUUACAUGCAUGAAGGGCUACGUCACUAAUAGAAGUGCCAUUAGGUGCCUGCAAUGCAUGUCAGCGUCUCCACUGAAAGCUGAAACAAAUCUCAUGAUGGUGCCUGCCCCUGUGAGCCCAGCAAUUAGAAGGUGUUUUGCCAACUGAUGCUCCUUGGUGAGGAACCCAUUGUUGCAAAGAUUUAAUGGCAGCUGGCCCCACCAAAACAAUCUUUGGACUUUGAUUUAGCUGCUUCUGCAACAGAGCUUGGAUCUUUAGGCCUGGUAUUCAACCCCAUUUGUACUGUGUGAUGUUGCUGAUGGCCAGGGGAGUGCCUGGUUAGCAGUGUUCUCUGGAUGGGAAAGGAGAGGCAGCAUGGCCCACAGCCUCUCCCAGCCACUGCCCAGUUCUGCUAUUUCAUAUUCUGGUUGUUACAUGCAAGUGGCAUUAGGACCUAAAAGUAGGAAAAGCACUAAACUGCAGCAAAACAGCUCACCCUUGCAUACAGGUGCCUGAUAGCUGCAGUGCUGCAUUUUCUGCCUCCACUGCAGGUGGCAUUUCUGCCUCUGUCACCAGGAUGGUGCUGGCAGCGAGGUGGUCCCCGCAGCAUCAAGGACACAUACGUGCCAGCAUAGUGUGGUUGGGGUGGGGAGGAUCCAUGGCAGGUACCUCCAGCACUCAGCUCAUGGCAGCACUGGCUCCUAGCACUGCUGCUGGGACACCAAGUCCUGUUAUUUCACAGCCUAUAUCAGCUGUGCCAUGCCACAGAGGCAUGGUGGCUCUGAUGAGAAUGCUGCCAGGCAUCACCUCCCUGAGAGCACUUCCCCCAGUGCUAUGCAGCGAUUAAAAAUCAGCAUCUUCUUUAUGAGCUAUUUUUACAUCACAAAUGCAAUGCAAAUGCUGUCCCAGCAAUAAAUUAAUUCCUGACAUGUGAUGGAAAUGACACAGCGGUGCAAGAUACAGCUACUAAAAGAAAUGGGGAGGGUGUUUAGGCAGUGGCGGUGCAACCUGCUCCUCUCCAGUGCCUUUGGAGAUCCACAGUGACAAAAUGCUGCUUUGGGGACACGUGAACAGAGCUGGCUGCUGGCCCUGUGCUCACCCCAGCAGCACCCUCUGUGAGGAUGCAGAGCUGUGAGGGAAUGCAGAUUCAUCAAAAUAGGACUGCUCUGACCGGUGCCUGAAUUUCAUCCUUCACCCAACAACAUGCAAACCACCCUCCUUUGCAGGGACCAUUAAUUAUUUAGAGUGAUGAAUUUUUCAGCAGAAAGGGGUCUUGUGAAGCAGGCCUGCUUCUCUCCUGUGUGAAGCACAUUGUUUUUAAUGAUCUAGGUUCAUAACUAUGUUGGCACAGCUCCCCUAAAAACUUGCAGCUCCUGCUGGAAGCAACCUACGAGCUGCUGUGGCUGCUAAUCCGCACAGAAAGGUGCAAAGGCACAAAGUAUUUUCCAGUGCCAGUAGAAAAGGCACAAAUUGGGUUCAUGCAGGUGUGUGCUGUACUGAAAUAGGAGCCAGGUCUGGGUCAGGUGCUGCCACUGGGGUUUGUACAGGUUGAGUACACCUGUGCAUCCAGUGAGUGGCCAAAAAAUGACCCGAUCCACCCAAUCCUUUUGCAAAAGGGAUUAAGGUCAUGCUUUGAAUGAGCAUGUUAAAACUCAAGAGGGCAGGAGGCACGGGUAAAUGGUGAGCAUCCUGACACUGAAGGGCAAGGGAUGCUGACCUCCUUAGGGCAGAGGGCAUAAAAGAACAGAGUGGUUUUGCAGUGUGGUUCAAGUGAUCACAGUGCUGCAGCUGCCUCAAAAUGGGUGGCUGAAGGGAAAGGCAGAGGGAGUUUCAGGGCAGGUUGUGAGCAGCCCUGCUGCAAGUUGCUGGUGUGUGAUAUUCAGAGCUGCUAAAACACAGGCUGUGAGCUUCUUUCUCCAAAACGUUGGAGUUAUCGCCCAUAAUCCUGGAUACGUUUUUGUAAAAUAGAAUUUCUGCUUUUGUUGUUCCCUUUGCAGGUGCUUGUCUGGGAAAGGAACCCAAGUGCUCCUGCCUGGUGCUGGAAUCACACCUGCAGAUCAACAGCUGCUUCCUAAGAAAAUUAAGCCCUAAGCUGGAAAGAGUUCAUGGAGCAAAGAUCUGACACGUGCUGUAGCUGUGCCAUUCACUAAGCGAUAAAUCUGCUGAAGACGCCAUUUCAUUCACCAAAAAGUCAAAAUUAAAAUGUCACACAACAGCCACCCUGGGAGAAUCACUUAAUGUCCUUAAUGAAAAGUUUAAAAUACAGUUAGCUCAUCUUGCGAAACCAGCAUCCGUGAUCUUUGCAUCUUAAAGUGAAAAGGGCAAAAGGAGAGAACAAAUUCCAGUGUGUUGGUGCUGAGAAAUGGGAUCCAGUCUUUGGCUUGACAGAGACAAACUGCUCUGUCCUUUGCAUUGGAUCUUUCCUGUUGAGAGGGAAGCUGGGCAGAGCUCCUGCCAUCACGUCCUGUGUGUUGGCAUAUGCCGUGCCAUCCAUUUGUUCAUUAAUGCUAUUUAUUAAUUGCAGCUUGACCAUCCUGAGAGCUGUCAUCUCCGAUGGGGGCCACAGUUUACAGCAGCAGGCUUAAGGCAAAGUCACAGUCCUGCUGAAGUGCUCAAGCAUCUUUGAAAGGAGGGCAGAGAGUAAAUACAGAUAAUAAUUAGGAAAGGAAGGCAGGGGCUAACUGAGAAAAGGAAAGAAGGAUGCUGGGUGGUGGUUGCAAAUGUUGGCAGCUGGGUCCAGCUCUACUGUGGGGCUUGAGGUGCUGCUGGGUGGAGGAGGCAUCACCACUGCUGUUGGAGAGCAAAGGAAGGGGGUUGGGGGAAUCCACUGCAAAUGCUCAGGCUGGUGUCUGCAGGACAGCAGCAGCAAUGGAGCAGCAAAGCAACCUUCUCUCCAUCCCGGAGGGAUCUGCACGCUCCCGCACCCUGUAAGAGUCGCUGCCAUCAGCACCAUGUGGCCACGAGGUUUGUCACUCCUCCCAGAAGUUUCUGUGAGUUUUGCUGUGAAAUCCCCACUCUCCAUCCAAACCAAAGCAGGUGAGGCUGCCCUGUCCUGAAAUAGCAGUGCCUUCACCUUGGGCAAAGGUGUGAGAGGAGAUCUUGGUAGAGAACCAUGAAUGUCCACCUGGGCACAAGGAAAAGAGAUCUGUCUCUGCAGGAAGCUGCGUGCCCAGAGGUGGGUGGAUCGAGGCUCACAGCUUGUUCAUAUUUCCCCCACACGAGUCACAGAAACAAACAUCCGCCAUCUGGUCGGCAUUAAAGCGGCGGCCAGGAAGAGGAUCCCACACGUCCUCAUCUUCUCCUCCCCAGCAAUUACCUUCCUUUUGGCACCAUCUGAGAGCUUUCUCCUUCCUAUUUGAUAUUCCGUCUCCAUCCUGCUCCUAUGCAGAUGCUGUUCCCUUCCCAGCAGCACUGGCAGUGCCUGGUGUCAUCCAAUGGGGACGUGGGAGCAAGUCCAGCCUCCUCAAACCGGCCCUGCAGUCACACGGGGCUUGGGGCAGAAUGCUGCUGGGGGUGGCCAGUGUCUAAGAGUUCUCUGUUCUGGGGUGUGUGCUGAGACACAGGGAUGGAGAGGAAGCAAUGAGUCUCCUUUCCUCUUUUCUUUCCCUUUGACUGAAGGCUUUGGUGGAUGGGGAGCUGUCUGAACACGGGAUUCUGCUCCCCAGCCCUGACUCAGCUGCUCGCACUCAAAAUUCAGCAAAAACCCCUGACAGCCACGGCUAAGCCAGUCCUGGCCUUUCAGGUAAAAUAACCUUCCCACUUGUAAAUUAAUCAGAGUUUUCAACACAAGCACCAGAAAGUUUAAUGCUCAAGCUGACUGAAGAAAACCGCAAAA